UACGGAGGGUGCAAGCGUUAUCCGGAUUCACUGGGUUUAAAGGGUGCGUAGGCGGGUUGGUAAGUCCGUGGUGAAAUCUCUAAGCUUAACUUGGAAACUGCCAUGGAUACUAUUAGUCUUGAAUAUUGUGGAGGUUAGCGGAAUAUGUCAUGUAGCGGUGAAAUGCAUAGAUAUGACAUAGAACACCAAUUGCGAAGGCAGCUGGCUACACAAAUAUUGACGCUGAUGCACGAAAGCGUGGGGAUCAAACAGG
Molecule: ribosomal RNA, 253 nt
Filed under: uncultured bacterium
Lineage: Bacteria
Description: partial 16S ribosomal RNA
Rfam family: Bacterial small subunit ribosomal RNA
Source: RNAcentral